Corvus hawaiiensis (hawaiian crow) is the source of this 1649-nucleotide long non-coding RNA. RefSeq lists it as uncharacterized. NCBI's taxonomy places the organism in Eukaryota, Metazoa, Chordata, Aves, Passeriformes, Corvidae. The record is from RefSeq and is a predicted model, not a curated record. The transcript is spliced from 3 exons.
AUAAAAAGAGUUCCUCUUAGCCUGGGAUUUGCAUUUAUAAGUGGAUAACUGUGCUAAGGUUUACAACUCUUCUAUUUUCAGUGAAUUUAAGGUUCCUUUCCAGCCUAUUCAGAGCUGUAGAGAAAAGGGAAAUAAAUCCAACAAGAAUAUACACGGAAGGUAUCUCCUCAAGGUUUUUCAGCUGAAACCCCACACUAGAAAAACCUGCAGCUUUGGUGUUGACCCAGCCUGGACAGGCAGUUCUGGACAGGAUUCUGCUGAUUUCAGGUUCUGUCCAUUUUGCUGGAUGAAUCCAAAAGGGAAAGGGUCAAACAGCACCUUCUGUGCUCACUCUGGUCUUUGCUUUCUGGUAGGCUUGGCUGGGUGUGAACACUGCCAGAAAAGGCUGGGAUUGAGUUUUUUCCACUUAAAGACUAUUGUAAUUAGGACUUGAGUGGCAGAAAUGCCAUAAAAAUUAUCCUAAACAAAUAAUAAAUACCUGUUUUAACCCCACAUCUACAGCAGGGUGAGUUAGAAGCCCAAUUUUACCUUAAUUCCUUCAGUACUGUGUCUUUAAUUAUUGUGGCCCAGCAUCAUUCCCACAAUAAUUAAUCAGAAUUGGAAAUACAACCCCAAUUCAUCUGCUACAGUGGCUGCCGCUUUUCACUUGUAUUUCAGAGUUUAUACAACAGAACUCUCAUAAUACCUUCAAGGAAAAAAUAAAAAAAAAAAAGAAAGAAAAAGCAGGCAAGAAAUAGAUGUCUUGGUCUUUCAUUUAAAUUUAAUGAGCAAAAGAGUUGCAGUGAAAUUAGAGAUGUGCUGAACUAUCCAGAGGAGAUUCCAAGCCAUUAUUAGCCUGCUCACCCUGCUACUUAUCUUCAAACGCACACACCAGCAGCAGAAAGGAUUUAGGUUACAUUUUAGUAAUCCAAAUCUUGUAGGUACUGGGGUUUAGUGAAACUGGAGCACUCGUUACUAUAAUUUAGCUACAAAAAAAGCAGCAUUUAGUGAAGUAAGAGAUCUGGCUUUACAGCACAAAAGCAAGGGGAGUUUGGGGGCUGUGGCAGCGAGGUUGGAGUGUCAGUCUGGAUUGCCAGCCUCAAAGCUGAAUUUCCGUGGGUUUGGGGAUUUGUCAAGUAUUUAACAGUGUUGAAAUGUAAACUUUUUUUCUUGAUGUUCAAACCUCUGUAAAACAGCCUUUAAAGAAGGGAAAAAAUACAGGAGGAAGAAGCAAAAUCAGCAACACUGGUGUGGCUGUGCUUAGGAGCAAAUCCCUUUCUUGUAUGGCUGAAGUGGGAGCCAGACAUCCCAGUUCCCUCCUAACCAUGGAUGAGGAGAAGCUGGGAUCUUUCAGGGGAACUUUUGCCUCUCUCUGCCUCAGUUUCCUGGACCGGCACCUGCAGAGGCCUCUUUUUCUGGUGGUAAAACUGCAACUGAACUGAAAUGAAGCCAUAUGAACAUUGUGAUAAUGUGGCCUUGGGUGUCUGAAUUUAAUUGAUCAAAACUAAGAACUGUGAUGGAAAAUUUAAUUGGAAAAAUCAUUAUCAGAGAUACAUAAAGUGCAUCUAUUUCUCUACUAAUCUAAAGCCUCUAGUUCUCAUUAAUCCAACUUAUUCUCAUUACAACUCCUCUAUUAAUGGUGCUGUGUGGAAGGAGGAAGCAUCACCGUG